GGCCUUUCAGGUUGUCCCGUGGUAGAGGAGGCAUCUUUCUAAAACCAGAACCUGUCAGUUUAUGCAGAGUAACACACAAGACUAGGCCCAGAGAGAUUGAACAUGUUUAUUGAGUGACCUCUGGACAGUGUUCACAGCAGACUUGUAAUGCCUCACCAGCUCACCAUUUGAAGAGGACAACUUUGAGAACACACUUCAGUGGGCGACCAUCACCUUCCUCUCCAGGGUCUGGGGACCACUGCUCAGAACUGGUCUUAAUGAUCUCAGCCUCCCGUUGGGGCCUAGGAGCCACCUGGUGGACCAAGGGACGGCCUACAAUGGCUUUCUUCCUAGACAGAAACGCCGCUAGGUCACCACUCAUGUUAUAUAGUCAGAAGCCUUGCUUUAAAAAUU
This 393-nucleotide long non-coding RNA is filed under the name Equus asinus (donkey). RNAcentral's name for it is "lncRNA (ENSEASG00005030678.1)". The record is from RNAcentral. Lineage: Eukaryota; Metazoa; Chordata; Mammalia; Perissodactyla; Equidae.